RNAcentral lists this ribosomal RNA (673 nucleotides) under Dinemasporium trichophoricola. RNAcentral describes it as "eukaryotic LSU rRNA". It matches the Rfam family "Eukaryotic large subunit ribosomal RNA", at positions 94 to 800 of the family's 3401-position model. Lineage: Eukaryota; Fungi; Ascomycota; Sordariomycetes; Chaetosphaeriales; Chaetosphaeriaceae. The record is from RNAcentral.
UGAAGCGGCAACAGCUCAAAUUUGAAAUCUGGCCCCCCGGGUCCGAGUUGUAAUUUGCAGAGGAUGCUUCGGGUGCGGCGUCGACCAAGUCCCCUGGAACGGGGCGCCAUAGAGGGUGAGAGCCCCGUCGGGUCGGCCGCCAAGCCUGUGUGAAGCUCCUUCGACGAGUCGAGUAGUUUGGGAAUGCUGCUCUAAACGGGAGGUAGACCCCUUCUAAAGCUAAAUAUUGGCCAGAGACCGAUAGCGCACAAGUAGAGUGAUCGAAAGAUGAAAAGCACUUUGAAAAGAGGGUUAAACAGUACGUGAAAUUGUUGAAAGGGAAGCGCUUGUGACCAGACGUGCGCCGGGUGUUCAGCGGGCGUUCUCGCCCGUGUACUCACCCCGGCGCAGGCCAGCGUCGGUUCGGAUGGGGGGACAAAGGUCCUGGGAAUGUGGCUCCUCCGGGAGUGUUAUAGCCCAGGGCGUCAUGCCCCCGCCCGGACCGAGGUUCGCGCUCUGCAAGGACGCUGGCGUAAUGGUCCCCAGCGGCCCGUCUUGAAACACGGACCAAGGAGUCGAGGUUUUGCGCGAGUGUUUGGGUGUCAAACCCGCACGCGUAAUGAAAGUGAACGCAGUGGGAGCUUCGGCGCACCACCGACCGAUCCUGAUGUUCUCGGAUGGAUUUGAGUAGGAG